UGAAAAUGCUCACAACCGUGAGUUUUUUGUCAAUCUCGUAGAUGACAAAGAUGGCACAGCUAUUCUAUGGUUUCGGAGACAGUUGGCUAGGUUAACUUGAGGAAUGCUGUUUCAGGAAUGCAUCAUAAUUAAACUUCAGGAAUCCAAGAGGAGGACGCUCCACAGCUAGUAGUUUUUAGUGUAUGUUUUCUAAGAUUGUGAACUGGCGAAUUUGUCAUCUCUGCUUCCAAAGUUGAGCACAAGAAGUGCCAUGUUAAUAUAUUUGCAAUUUGCACUAUUUAAAUUCAGCACUGUAAUUUGCACUAUUUAUUUUCCAUACCUGCCUAUGUUUUAUGGAUAUGAUUACAUAUUAUUGGAGGUGUGUGUGCAUGAUGUUACUUGAUGGAGCUAUACUUGAUAUUA
This is a long non-coding RNA of Lolium rigidum, 402 nucleotides long. RefSeq lists it as uncharacterized. The record is from RefSeq and is a predicted model, not a curated record. NCBI's taxonomy places the organism in Eukaryota, Viridiplantae, Streptophyta, Magnoliopsida, Poales, Poaceae. The transcript is spliced from 2 exons.